UAAAUACUCCCUCCGUCCGAAAAUACUUGUCAUCACAAUUGAUAAAAAGAGAUGUAUCUAAAACUAAAAUACGUCUAGAUACAUUUCCUUUUAUCCAUUUUGAUGACAAGUAUUUCCGGACGGAGGGAGUAUUUA
This is a non-coding RNA of Triticum aestivum (bread wheat), 135 nucleotides long. Lineage: Eukaryota; Viridiplantae; Streptophyta; Magnoliopsida; Poales; Poaceae. The record is from Rfam.